CGCUAAGUUUGUGUGUUGUAUCAGUCAGCAGGAGAAGUGUCGUUCUCCGUCACUCUCGUGGCAGGGUGGGCGGCGCUCUCUCUCUCGCCUUAUUACAAUUGCUAAUGCAGCGAGCCGGGUCUCGACGUAGUGCGACGCUACUAUCUCAUUCAUACUUUUGCAUACACAAGUCCUUUUUAACAUGCAAAGGCUGUUUCCUAGCCAGCUAUCUGCAUCCCGGGCGAGAGAGGCAAGCCAGCCAGUGUUUCCUCGGCCUUCUGUUGGGACGCACCUACGCCUUUCACACGGCUACUGUUCCACCGGGACCUGGUGCUUCCUCUGCACCGGAACCAAAGCAUCCGUCCUGCACCGAAACUAUCGACCCGCUCGAUAUCGACCGCCCAGCACCCGCGUGUUUGUGUGGAAAGUGAGGUUAGGUUCGAUUAGGCGCGCGGCUAGAAAGCGCGGUAAGAAUGGGCGGGAAAAAGUGGUGGGGAGGAAAGGAUGGUGGUUAUCGUUGAUGCAGAUUUGAUGGGGCAACUGGAGUCACUUAAUUUCCGGAGAAGUUGACAUCAACUAGGAAAAUAUGAUACUUUUGCUUCAUAAAGAAGGAGUUGUGAACUUGGAAUGCAAGCAACAACCUCGUGAAUCAUCAUAACUAUUGCAGAUUCCAGAUAGAAAGCGAUCAUUGUACUAAAUGUACUAAACGGCUUGGGAUUGGGACACAAAUAAUUGACAUUCACGAAGUUUUCAAAUUCAAAAGAAUGGAGUGGAACGGCACAUUUUUUACAUACUCCGGCCUUCGAUCUGGCAUCACCUCUUUCCCAUUCUCUCUAUUUUUUCGAGUUAAUAAUGAAUGCUAUUAUUCAUCGAAAAAUGAUACCACGCCUAGAUGGCUCGCCAAGAUUUCAUCUUCAAUCAAUCAAUCAAUUUUAUUAGAAAAACAUUUUUACAUUGUUGGGUCCUGCUAAACCCGUGGGUUUUUCAGCAGGUGCCAGAUCAAAAACAAAAUUAUUCACAACGUUAAAUUAAAAUUAAGAAUAAAUAAAAUAAAAUAGCUUGUCUUAUACAG
Nilaparvata lugens (brown planthopper) is the source of this 1051-nucleotide RNA transcript. RefSeq lists it as uncharacterized. The record is from RefSeq and is a predicted model, not a curated record. NCBI's taxonomy places the organism in Eukaryota, Metazoa, Arthropoda, Insecta, Hemiptera, Delphacidae. The transcript is spliced from 5 exons.